RNAcentral lists this ribosomal RNA (253 nucleotides) under uncultured bacterium. Its description in RNAcentral is "partial 16S ribosomal RNA". It matches the Rfam family "Bacterial small subunit ribosomal RNA", at positions 524 to 776 of the family's 1533-position model. The record is from RNAcentral.
UACAGAGGGUGCGAGCGUUGUCCGGAAUCACUGGGCGUAAAGGGUGCGUAGGUGGCAAGGUAAGCGUGUGGUGAAAGUCCGGGGCUCAACCCCGGAUCUGCCGUGCGAACUGCCUAGCUUGAGCAAUGUAGAGGCAGGUGGAAUUUCGGGUGUAGCGGUGGAAUGCGUAGAUAUCCGAAAGAACACCAGUGGCGAAGGCGGCCUGCUGGGCAUUUGCUGACACUGAGGCACGACAGCGUGGGGAGCAAACAGG